Molecule: long non-coding RNA, 206 nt
Organism: Drosophila persimilis
Lineage: Eukaryota; Metazoa; Arthropoda; Insecta; Diptera; Drosophilidae
Exons: 3
Source: RefSeq, a predicted model, not a curated record
UGGAUUCGCUGUUCUAGGAAUUUCGGAAGUGGCCGAACUGCAGAGCCGAGUUGCAUAUCAACAGCAGAUACUCGAUGGCGGAUGUUGGCAGAGAUUUAAUGACGCGAUUGUCGAUACUGUCGAUACCGAGUGCCUUUUUCGUCUUGAGCUUCUUAAUUUCCGAUUUGAGUUCCUGGAUGGUCACAGGGCUGCCGUGAUCUUUGGCG